This 497-nucleotide ribosomal RNA is filed under the name uncultured bacterium. RNAcentral's name for it is "partial 16S ribosomal RNA". It matches the Rfam family "Bacterial small subunit ribosomal RNA", at positions 28 to 507 of the family's 1533-position model. The record is from RNAcentral.
GAUGAACGCUGGCGGCGUGCCUAAUACAUGCAAGUCGAGCGAACAGACGAGGAGCUUGCUCCUCUGACGUUAGCGGCGGACGUGUGAGUAACACGUGGAUAACCUACCUAUAAGACUGGGAUAACUUCGGGAAACCGGAGCUAAUACCGGAUAAUAUAUUGAACCGCAUGGUUCAAUAGUGAAAGACGGUUUUGCUGGCACUUAUAGAUGGAUCCGCGCCGCAUUAGCUAGUUGGUAAGGUAACGGCUUACCAAGGCAACGAUGCGUAGCCGACCUGAGAGGGUGAUCGGCCACACUGGAACUGAGACACGGUCCAGACUCCUACGGGAGGCAGCAGUAGGGAAUCUUCCGCAAUGGGCGAAAGCCUGACGGAGCAACGCCGCGUGAGUGAUGAAGGUCUUCGGAUCGUAAAACUCUGUUAUUAGGGAAGAACAAAUGUGUAAGUAACUAUGCACGUCUUGACGGUACCUAAUCAGAAAGCCACGGCUAACUACGUG